AUUUGAGGAUUGAGCGAGGUAUGAUUUAAGAUUCGAAGUUUAAUUUUUUAUUAAAUUGAGUUCGUUUCGAGGACGAAACUCCUUUUAAGGAGAGGAGAAUGUAGGAUACCGAACUUCUGAAAAUAAGAAGUUACGGUAGGAUAUAGUAUAUCGGAAUUUAUUAUAAAAGUAAAUAUAAAUAAAAAUAGUGUGGAAAACUAUUUUUAUUGGCCUUAUGGAAGUAAAGUAAAAGUUGAAAGUGACCUGUGCUGAAAUCGGAGCGAAAACAGGAGAUUUAGAAUUUUCUGUGAGAAACGGGGCAGAUAGAUUAGCAGAAAAUGCACAGUGUCAGAAAAUUAUGAAAACUGGAGGAUGGGUCAGAAUUAUUUUUAUGAGGCUGGAAUUAAAGUUUCAGCCCAUUCUGACAUCCGGAAG
This 414-nucleotide long non-coding RNA is filed under the name Ananas comosus (pineapple). RNAcentral's name for it is "long non-coding RNA (ACOM_LNC009988)". Lineage: Eukaryota; Viridiplantae; Streptophyta; Magnoliopsida; Poales; Bromeliaceae. The record is from RNAcentral.